GUAACUCGGAAGGUUGUUGGUUCGAAUCCUGAGCUGCACUGAAAAAUGGGAGGAUCUGGCGACUAAAAGCCUUUCUGUUCGUCAGAUUGAGUCUUUUAGACCUGGCCAGAUUGUUCCAUUCUGCUUUACAUUACACUGUGAUGUUACCUGAUUAAACUGUGGAUGUGGACCUGGCCAGAUUGUUCCAUUCUGCCAUUUAGCUGGCGAGGCCACGUCAGCCAACUACCAGCACAGGCAGUGUACGCCUCCCCACUGUCAAUUAUUCUGUUGUCCUCUAGCUGGAGCAGGACUCUACCCGCUCUAUGUAGAGCUGUCUCAGUAUCUGCUGUGUGUGUAUUCUAGGUGGAGCAGGACUCUACCCGCUCUAUGUAGAGCUGUCUCAGUAUCUGCUGUGUGUGUAUUAUAGGUGAGGCUGGACUCUACCCGCUCUAUGUAGAGCUGUCUCAGUAUCUG
Oncorhynchus tshawytscha (Chinook salmon) is the source of this 453-nucleotide long non-coding RNA. Lineage: Eukaryota; Metazoa; Chordata; Actinopteri; Salmoniformes; Salmonidae. The record is from Ensembl.